This is a long non-coding RNA of Dreissena polymorpha, 1298 nucleotides long. RefSeq lists it as uncharacterized. Lineage: Eukaryota; Metazoa; Mollusca; Bivalvia; Myida; Dreissenidae. The record is from RefSeq and is a predicted model, not a curated record. The transcript is spliced from 3 exons.
UUUGAAUGUAUUAUGUAUUCAUAAGUAUCUUUUUGAUUCCGUUAGCUUAUCAAUACUACGCAGCAAGUAAAAUGUUACUUGUACUUUCGUUUUCAAAAAACUGUUUUACAGGGAUGGACAUAUUUGUGCAGGUCUUAUGUUAAUAACAAUAUAUUAUGUGCAGGAUAUUUGAUAUAGAAGCAGCGGGCUUAUUCUAGAGAAGUGCUCAUAUUCAGCAGGUAUGUCAAAUUUCCCUGUCGGCUCUGCGAUUGGGUUUACACCGCGAGAUCUCAAUGAAGCGUUUUUCGUAAGCGCCACAGUCUCUGCAAUAGUGAUGGUGUUGAUCGUUAUUGCAGUUGUGUGUUGCAUAGCUUGUAAAGGUCGUAACGUGGUUAUGCCGACAUCACAAAACGCCAAAUGUUCUGCAACUUCUGUUGAGAGAUUUUUUGUGCAAAAGCCAUAGUCUCGUUCCAUAUCAAAAACAUCCAUGAACAAUCAACUCGCAACUCGCUUUGUCUCCUCUGCGGUAAGAACAUUAGCACAGUUUUUAACAUGAAAAUACAUCAACUUGUCGUACUCUUGAACAAAAGGCCUCAUAAGUGUUUGGUAUGAAACACACAAUUCUCUUGCAGUCGAGAAAUGUAUGGACAUAUGAACCAGUCUCAUGGCAACGGUAUCAAAGUGUGAAAAUUGUUGCAAGGAGUAUGCGUACAAACGAAGAAUUGAACGAAACGUGGCUGUGUUUGGCAGACAAAAACGAACAGUCAUAUGUGAAAAGUGCAACAAUACAUUCCGGUCGAAAGAAACUUUAUCAAAUCAUAUGAGAGCGAAACACACCAGUCACAAAUUCGUUUGUGAGCUAUGUGGCUAAUAUUUUGAAUGGUAAUUGAUCCAUUGAAGGCAUAUGUCACAACAAAGGCAUGGAUUUGCAAGUCGAAGUCGUCAAAACGUCAGUUUCGUUAAUGUUUGUCUGACGGCAGAACAGUCACAAUAUUUAGGAUUAAAAAGUUCAAACAAACCACAAUUGUCUCGCAAAUAAUAUGACCAUGUCACUUUAAUUUAUUUUCACAAAGGAACUAUGUUAAAUCGUUUAAAUAAUGUUGUUUUUAUGGUAUUUUAGCAGUCAUGCAUUUCGUAUGCUAUUAGUUUAUGGGCAAUUUCAAAAAGUAAAUUCAAAUCAAGUAAAUGUUAUCCAACAUAUUUUGCAUUUGCUUAAUUUUAAACACCAUUGUCAGUGUGCUUGUACAACUGUGUAAAAACAUUCUAGCUAUAUUUGUAUUUCAUUCAAUUUGCAAUAUGUUCUAACAAACUAAACUGUA